UUCUCUGAAUACUGGGUUAGGAUUUUGUGUAUUCCAAAUGAACUGCUGACUGACCAAAGAAUUGCUCUGAUUGAGAACUUGCAUAUGGUUUGAUACUCAGUUGCAAAAACAAGGAGUGCACGAAGCACACUGUAAAAGGCAAUUUAGCACACUGUAAAAGCUGAAACUACAGUGCCAGAGCUGCAAAGGACUACUCACAGUGCCCGAUCAAGGUACUCGUUUCUCCUAUUCCUAUUCUCUUAUUCAUUGACCGUAGAUUGACAUACUGCUAGUAUGUAUAUUUGCCUGCAUGACCGUAGAUUGACAUACUGCCAUGGCGGUGUAAAAAGUUGAAUAACCACAUUUAUGCUGGACAAAUGAUGUGUUUUUUAUGCUGGACUCCACUGCGUCCAAGUUUGACUGACUAUUGGAUCAUAUCCUGCUUGGGUCAACAUCCACCGGUGCCUCAUCAGUAUGAUUGAUAGAUUCAUUGUAACUGCAGCCUUUGCUUGUCUGAAUUUUGUGCAGGUAAGCAGCACAAGAGCAGCCUGUGCUAUCGUUUUAUGGAUUUGAAUUGUUGUUUUGUUCCUAAGGUAAGUUUGGCUUGCAUAACUGUCUGAACAUUCCACAACAGCUGUUAAUUUUGAAUCAAACACAUGAAUAGCUCAGUUAUCUGAGAUUUCACUAAGAAUAUGUACCAAUUUUAUAUAUAGCUGUUGAAUGCUAUUUAAAGUAAUUAGAUUACCUAAUAUGAUUCUAAAAAACUAAUAACUGAAUCUGCUUAUUCUUGAGUAGCUUGCUUGUUAACUUGGCAUAUGACGACAUGUUUCUAUAGCUGUUUCUUUUCAUGAUACUUGCUGAGUUACUUGAUCUUGUUUGCACCUUGAUCAUGGCCACAACGUUGUAUCUUUACAUAAUGUAGUACUACAUUAGCAUGGUAUCUUACACUCUUAACUUCAUUCUUCAAACCUCUUUAACCUUUCCACGGUCAUAUUUGUACAGUGUUGAAUCUCUACAUAGUGUUGAAUCUCUACAUACUUUCUAAUCUGGUUCUCAUUAGAGUAUCCGAGCCACCGCAGAUCAUCCGCUAUGUAUGCUAUGCAUCUCUAUACUUAACAACUCCCUGCUAUUUUGGUGAAAUUGAGAAGAAUGUACAUUUAUGUCUUCAAUUAACAAUAUGCUGUUUUGUUGUAGCCAAGGAGCAGUUUGCUGAAGCUGAGAGGAAAGAAAGUAGCUAGGAGGUAUUUGUAUUGCCAUUUAUUCUAGAGCAACCAUCACAUUUUGAUUGGUUAGGUGGAUACUCUAUGUAAUUGCUUACAAUUGAAUAGACUGUAAUCAAAAUUUUUGUGUACUGUGAACCAUUUAUCUUAUGUAUUUUGAUCAUGAGAAGUCUUACAUAAGGUCAAUUUUCAGACCGUUUUAUUGUUUCUUAA
Panicum virgatum (switchgrass) is the source of this 1412-nucleotide long non-coding RNA. RefSeq lists it as uncharacterized. The transcript is spliced from 2 exons. The record is from RefSeq and is a predicted model, not a curated record. Lineage: Eukaryota; Viridiplantae; Streptophyta; Magnoliopsida; Poales; Poaceae.